UAAUAUCUAAGAACUGUUGCAUUCUUAUAACAGAUACUGCUGAUCCGUGAAAAGGGUAAACAAAACCAGCUUUAUUACAAAGGUUUUGGUGUAGUUACAAUCAAGUUUUGUUAUUAGCACAUUCAGAACAUUUUGCACUCAAACGGUUAUUUUUAAUUCUUUUUAUAUUAAAAGUCGACCAGGAAGACAAUCUGUGUCAAUGUAAGCUGGUGCAGAACAGAGGAAAUUGUUACCAGGAUUACAGAGGGAAAUAAUUGAAUGUAGAAGCUGUGCCUUGCUCUCUGGUGCAGUCUGCACAGGAAUGAAAACCUAACACUGCUUCAGACUAUCUCUAUUCACUAAGAGCAAAGAUGAGUUACAUGAAAUAGUCGAAGAUACUGAAACAGACACCAGAGAAAUACAAAGCAUCUGCUGCAACUUUACUUCAGUUGUACUGUGUGUAUGCAUGAGAAGAGAAACCAGUGCAUUUUAAAAUGUGAAAGUUUGCACUAU
Molecule: long non-coding RNA, 492 nt
Organism: Hirundo rustica (Barn swallow)
Lineage: Eukaryota; Metazoa; Chordata; Aves; Passeriformes; Hirundinidae
Exons: 3
Source: RefSeq, a predicted model, not a curated record